CACACUAUCAUUAACUGAAUCCAUAGGUUAAUGAGGCGAACCGGGGGAACUGAAACAUCUAAGUACCCCGAGGAAAAGAAAUCAACCGAGAUUCCCCCAGUAGCGGCGAGCGAACGGGGAGCAGCCCAGAGCCUGAAUCAGUGUGUGUGUUAGUGGAAGCGUCUGGAAAGGCGCGCGAUACAGGGUGACAGCCCCGUACACAAAAAUGCACAUGCUGUGAGCUCGAUGAGUAGGGCGGGACACGUGGUAUCCUGUCUGAAUAUGGGGGGACCAUCCUCCAAGGCUAAAUACUCCUGACUGACCGAUAGUGAACCAGUACCGUGAGGGAAAGGCGAAAAGAACCCCGGCGAGGGGAGUGAAAAAGAACCUGAAACCGUGUACGUACAAGCAGUGGGAGCACGCUUAGGCGUGUGACUGCGUACCUUUUGUAUAAUGGGUCAGCGACUUAUAUUCUGUAGCAAGGUUAACCGAAUAGGGGAGCCGAAGGGAAACCGAGUCUUAACUGGGCGUUAAGUUGCAGGGUAUAGACCCGAAACCCGGUGAUCUAGCCAUGGGCAGGUUGAAGGUUGGGUAACACUAACUGGAGGACCGAACCGACUAAUGUUGAAAAAUUAGCGGAUGACUUGUGGCUGGGGGUGAAAGGCCAAUCAAACCGGGAGAUAGCUGGUUCUCCCCGAAAGCUAUUUAGGUAGCGCCUCGUGAAUUCAUCUCCGGGGGUAGAGCACUGUUUCGGCAAGGGGGUCAUCCCGACUUACCAACCCGAUGCAAACUGCGAAUACCGGAGAAUGUUAUCACGGGAGACACACGGCGGGUGCUAACGUCCGUCGUGAAGAGGGAAACAACCCAGACCGCCAGCUAAGGUCCCAAAGUCAUGGUUAAGUGGGAAACGAUGUGGGAAGGCCCAGACAGCCAGGAUGUUGGCUUAGAAGCAGCCAUCAUUUAAAGAAAGCGUAAUAGCUCACUGGUCGAGUCGGCCUGCGCGGAAGAUGUAACGGGGCUAAACCAUGCACCGAAGCUGCGGCAGCGACGCUGAUGCGUUGUUGGGUAGGGGAGCGUUCUGUAAGCCUGCGAAGGUGUGCUGUGAGGCAUGCUGGAGGUAUCAGAAGUGCGAAUGCUGACAUAAGUAACGAUAAAGCGGGUGAAAAGCCCGCUCGCCGGAAGACCAAGGGUUCCUGUCCAACGUUAAUCGGGGCAGGGUGAGUCGACCCCUAAGGCGAGGCCGAAAGGCGUAGUCGAUGGGAAACAGGUUAAUAUUCCUGUACUUGGUGUUACUGCGAAGGGGGGACGGAGAAGGCUAUGUUGGCCGGGCGACGGUUGUCCCGGUUUAAGCGUGUAGGCUGGUUUUCCAGGCAAAUCCGGAAAAUCAAGGCUGAGGCGUGAUGACGAGGCACUACGGUGCUGAAGCAACAAAUGCCCUGCUUCCAGGAAAAGCCUCUAAGCAUCAGGUAACAUCAAAUCGUACCCCAAACCGACACAGGUGGUCAGGUAGAGAAUACCAAGGCGCUUGAGAGAACUCGGGUGAAGGAACUAGGCAAAAUGGUGCCGUAACUUCGGGAGAAGGCACGCUGAUA
RNAcentral lists this ribosomal RNA (1571 nucleotides) under Escherichia coli. RNAcentral's name for it is "bacterial LSU rRNA". It matches the Rfam family "Bacterial large subunit ribosomal RNA", at positions 144 to 1756 of the family's 2925-position model. The record is from RNAcentral. Lineage: Bacteria; Pseudomonadati; Pseudomonadota; Gammaproteobacteria; Enterobacterales; Enterobacteriaceae.